Molecule: non-coding RNA, 114 nt
Organism: Acanthosepion pharaonis
Lineage: Eukaryota; Metazoa; Mollusca; Cephalopoda; Sepiida; Sepiidae
Source: the annotation of a GenBank genome assembly
UUACGGUUACAUCACGUUGAAAGACCGGUUCCUGUACGAUUACCAAAGUUAAGCAACGUCGAGCCAGGUCAGUACAUAGAUGGGUGACUGCUUGGGAAUACAAGGUGCUGUAAG